Molecule: non-coding RNA, 96 nt
Filed under: Staphylococcus aureus
Lineage: Bacteria; Bacillati; Bacillota; Bacilli; Caryophanales; Staphylococcaceae
Description: Glycine sequence
Rfam family: Glycine riboswitch aptamer
About the family: This family represents the bacterial glycine riboswitch.
Source: RNAcentral
AUGAUCAAAGUUAGAGAGAAUGAAUGAUAUAUUCAUCGCCGAAGGAGCAAGCCAGAUUUGAGUGAAUCUCUCAGGCAAAAGGAUAACUUUGUGACG